Long non-coding RNA from Cebus imitator (Panamanian white-faced capuchin), 609 nucleotides. RefSeq lists it as uncharacterized. The record is from RefSeq and is a predicted model, not a curated record. The transcript has 3 exons. Lineage: Eukaryota; Metazoa; Chordata; Mammalia; Primates; Cebidae.
CAGUGAGAUUCUGUCUUAAAAAAAAAAAAAAAGGUGCAUUCGUUGUGUAUGAGCUUGGCUGCCCUGACAGAGACUGUAAGUAACAGUGGCUUAGAUGUAGUAGAAGGUCAUUGUUCUUCCACUUAACAGCUGGGGCUUACACAAGUCAGAGCCGGCGUGGCAGCUCCGUGAGCAGGGUUCCCUCUGUCAGGUUGCUGCACCUUCUCUAGGGUGUCACCCUCGUGCGCAUGACCUACCACCUCCAUGCUCCUCACCGUCCUCUGCCCUCUCAGCAUUUCCUCUCCAUGGAAACAGUUCCAUAUGUUACAGUUCCCCUCUGUAAAUGUCUAGAGAGCUUUCUGCUUUCCUAAUUGGAUGCUGACUGAUACAACCUGUGACCUCAAAAUGAUAAGAGGUACAGAGAGAACAUGGGCAAAGAAAUGCCACAGACAUAGCCGUGGCAGACACAUCUCAAGAAGCGAGACCAGAAAGGGGAGAAUGGGCAUUGAUGGCCAGAUCUGACAUGGGAGAAGCAUCUUCUGGCUGUUGUUCAUAAACAGGUAGUCUGAGCUGCAGAGUGGAGCUUGGGUGGAGGCUGCAAUUAUGGGAUCCUGAGCUGUGAGGAGGAAG